CACGCAGGCGGUGACUUAAGUGAGGUGUGAAAGCCCCGGGCUUAACCUGGGAAUUGCAUUUCAUACUGGGUCGCUAGAGUACUUUAGGGAGGGGUAGAAUUCCACGUGUAGCGGUGAAAUGCGUAGAGAUGUGGAGGAAUACCGAAGGCGAAGGCAGCCCCCUUGGGAAUGUACUGACGCUCAUGUGCGAAAGCGUGAGGAGCAAACA
Molecule: ribosomal RNA, 208 nt
Filed under: uncultured bacterium
Lineage: Bacteria
Description: partial 16S ribosomal RNA
Rfam family: Bacterial small subunit ribosomal RNA
Source: RNAcentral